UACAGAGGGUGCAAGCGUUAAUCGGAAUUACUGGGCGUAAAGCGCACGUAGGCGGCGUGAUAAGUUGGAUGUGAAAUCCCCGGGCUUAACUUGGGAAUUGCGUUCAAGACUGUCACGCUGGAGUAUGGGAGAGAGAAGUGGAAUUCCAGGUGUAGCGGUGAAAUGCGUAGAUAUCUGGAGGAACAUCAGUGGCGAAGGCGGCUUCUUGGCCCAAUACUGACGCUGAGGUGCGAAAGCGUGGGGAUCAAACAGG
Molecule: ribosomal RNA, 253 nt
Filed under: uncultured bacterium
Lineage: Bacteria
Description: partial 16S ribosomal RNA
Rfam family: Bacterial small subunit ribosomal RNA
Source: RNAcentral